CCUACGGGAGGCAGCAGUGGGGAAUAUUGCGCAAUGGGCGAAAGCCUGACGCAGCGACGCCGCGUGAGGGAUGAAGGUCUUCGGAUCGUAAAACUCUGUCAGCAGGGAAGAAAGGUCACUGUGCUAAUCAGCAGUGAAUUGACGGUACCUGCAAAGGAAGCACCGGCUAACUCCGGCCCAGCAGCCGCGGUAAUACGGAGGGUGCGAGCGUUAAUCGGAUUUAUUGGGCGUAAAGGGCGCGUAGGCGGUAUGUCAAGUCAAGGGUGAAAUCCCCGGGCUCAACGUGGGAACUGCCUUUGAAACUGGCAAACUGGAGUGUGUGAGAGGAUAGUGGAAUUCCAGGUGUAGGAGUGAAAUCCGUAGAUAUCUGGAGGAACAUCAGUGGCGAAGGCGACUAUCUGGCACAUAACUGACGCUGAGGAGCGAAAGCGUGGGUAGCAAACAGGAUUAGAUACCCUAGUAGUC
Molecule: ribosomal RNA, 465 nt
Filed under: uncultured bacterium
Lineage: Bacteria
Description: partial 16S ribosomal RNA
Rfam family: Bacterial small subunit ribosomal RNA
Source: RNAcentral